RNAcentral lists this ribosomal RNA (475 nucleotides) under uncultured bacterium. RNAcentral describes it as "bacterial SSU rRNA". It matches the Rfam family "Bacterial small subunit ribosomal RNA", at positions 39 to 507 of the family's 1533-position model. The record is from RNAcentral.
CUGCGGCAGGCCUAACACAUGCAAGUCGAGCGGAUGAGUGGAGCUUGCUCCAUGAUUCAGCGGCGGACGGGUGAGUAAUGCCUAGGAAUCUGCCUGGUAUGGGGGGACAACGUUUCGAAAGGAACGCUAAUACCGCAUACGUCCUACGGGAGAAAGCAGGGGACCUUCGGGCCUUGCGCUAUCAGAUGAGCCUAGGUCGGAUUAGCUAGUAGGUGAGGUAAUGGCUCACCUAGGCGACGAUCCGUAACUGGUCUGAGAGGAUGAUCAGUCACACUGGAACUGAGACACGGUCCAGACUCCUACGGGAGGCAGCAGUGGGGAAUAUUGGACAAUGGGCGAAAGCCUGAUCCAGCCAUGCCGCGUGUGUGAAGAAGGUCUUCGGAUUGUAAAGCACUUUAAGUUGGGAGGAAGGGCAGUAAGUUAAUACCUUGCUGUUUUGACGUUACCAACAGAAUAAGCACCGGCUAACUUCGUG